UCCAAUGGAUUUAGUUAUAUAAAAAAAAAUGGAUCCGAUGGAUCCAAUGGAUUUUAGUUAUAUAACUAAAAUCCAUUGGAUCCAUCGGAUCCAUCAGAUCCAUCGGAUCCAUCAGAUCCAUCGGAUCCAUUUUUUUUAUAUAACUAAAAUCCAUUGGAUC
Paramuricea clavata is the source of this 160-nucleotide non-coding RNA. NCBI's taxonomy places the organism in Eukaryota, Metazoa, Cnidaria, Anthozoa, Malacalcyonacea, Plexauridae. The record is from the annotation of a GenBank genome assembly.